GGGAUUGCCCUAGUACGGCGAGUGAACAGGCAAGAGCUCAGAUUUGAAAGGCACUUUUGUGCCGUUGUAUUCUGAAGUUAGGGUCCUGAGAAACGAUGCUUAAGUCUUCUGGAAAGGAGCGCCAUGGAGGGUGAUAGCCCCGUCUAGCAUUGACCUCAUAUAGGAUCUUAACAUGGAGUCGAGUUGUUUGGGAAUGCAGCUCAAAUGGGUGGUAUGCUCCAUCUAAAGCUAAAUAUCUGCGAGAGACCGAUAGUAAACAAGUACUGUGAGGGAAAGAUGAAAAGAACUUUGAAAAGAGAGUGAAAAAGUACGUGAAAUUGUUGAAAUGGAAGGGUAGGCCGCUAACCAUGUAGAGCCGUGUUUGGGGGGAAGAUAAAUGCUGUAGAAUGUAGCUCCUCGGAGUAUUAUAGAUGCAGUUCAUAUUCCCACCCGAGCGCGAGGAUCUCAGGUUCUACUAAAUGGUGGUCUACCACCCGUCUUGAAACACGGACCA
Molecule: ribosomal RNA, 493 nt
Filed under: Starmerella bacillaris
Lineage: Eukaryota; Fungi; Ascomycota; Dipodascomycetes; Dipodascales; Trichomonascaceae
Description: partial large subunit ribosomal RNA
Rfam family: Eukaryotic large subunit ribosomal RNA
Source: RNAcentral